GCGGGGUGGGGACCGGGCGGCAGGGGCAGGCCGAACGUGCUCGUGUCGCCCACAGGUGGCAAGAAGAAGCCACUGAAACAGCCCAAGAAGCAGGCCAAGGAGAUGGACGAGGAAGAUAAGGCUUUCAAGCAGAAACAAAAAGAGGAGCAGAAGAAACUCGAGGAGCUAAAAGCGAAGGCCGCGGGGAAGGGGCCCUUGGCCACAGGUGGAAUUAAGAAAUCUGGCAAAAAGUAAGCUGUUCCUUGUGCCUGAGGAGAUGGUGACCCUUUAUUUCAUCUGUAUUUAAACCUCUCUAUUCCCUGCCAUAACAUCUUUUGCCACGUAUAGCUGGAAUUAAGUGUUGUCUUGGAGCUGUUGUACAUUUAAGAAUAAACUUUUGUAAAAAAAAAAAAAAAAAAUCUUACAGUGGCUCAUCAUCUCUUUAGUUGUUUUCACUAAGUCAUUCCUACCAUAACUGUGAAUUUAAAGUAAAACCAGCUCAGAAUCUUGCCAGAGUCUGUUCUUUGGUCCUUGUUCUACCCUAAACUUUGUAUCACCUGAAAUUAAACCAACUCAUUUGAAAGGAUG
This 567-nucleotide long non-coding RNA is filed under the name Pan troglodytes (chimpanzee). Its description in RNAcentral is "long non-coding RNA NONPTRT011386". Lineage: Eukaryota; Metazoa; Chordata; Mammalia; Primates; Hominidae. The record is from RNAcentral.